GGGGCAUAAAUAAUAACGCGUUAUUAUUAUGGUGUGUUUGAGACUGGGGGCUUCUUGCCGCCUCUUCCUUGUGCUUCCCUCUUCCUCCGCUGAGUUGUCGUGCUUUUGUUCUUUGAUUUUUUAUUUUUAAGAUUUUGUAUAAAUUGGAAGUGGGAUGGGGAAACGUAAAUGUGGAGGGCAAAAGCUCCUGGAGGGGAUCUCUUAAUUUAUGAUGUAAGGCCCGGGGGUUGACCGGGGAGGCGCCAAGCAAACUGGGAUAAUUGAACUAUGGAAAGCAAAGGAGAAAUCCCAGGGAAACCGUUAAAAGGCUAAGAGUGGGGAAGAAAGCCCAGGGGAAAAGCCACUUUCUUGGCUGGUAAUGGAGGUUGAGCGCGAAAAAGGUGGGGAAAAAAAAGGGUUAAAUUCCCUGGGAAGCCCAGCCGUAAAACAAGGGGGGGAAAGGUAAGGGGUUUCCCCCCCUUAAGCCCCCCCUAAAGGAUUUAAGCCCUCCCCCCGGGGAGGAACGACGGAAGGUUAAAUUUAAAGGAUUUGGCGGGGGCCCGCAAACGGGGGAGCCUGUGGUUUAAUUCAAAGAACGGGAAAAACCUUACAAGGCUUGACCCCCGACUGCCGGGUAAAAAAUACGCCUUUCCCUUCGGGAAAGGGGAGAAAAGGGGGGAUGGUUGCGCCUCCGGGCGGAGAUGUGUUAACCACGAGCACC
This 700-nucleotide ribosomal RNA is filed under the name uncultured archaeon. RNAcentral describes it as "partial 16S ribosomal RNA". It matches the Rfam family "Bacterial small subunit ribosomal RNA", at positions 420 to 1102 of the family's 1533-position model. The record is from RNAcentral.